ACAAAAUCAUCAAAAGACAAAGGAGAUCAUCAAACAAAAUCAUCUUUGACGAAAUCGAUAAAAUCAUCAAAAGACGAAAUCGAUAAAAGGAUUGAUAUCUAGCUAUCUAGCUAUUUCAUCCUUCUCUUUCCUUUAUUACUUACCAGCUUCCUUGAUAGAGGUAGGCCUGCAAAUUCCAAGGAGCAAACCUUUGAUGCUGCUGAUGUUGAUUCAUCAAAACCAAUAAAACUAGACACCGCAUCUCUAGCGAACAUUGACAAUCACAGAAAGCUUCAAGAGGAUCUAAACCGAUGAAAUGGUGGGACUUGCAAGACAACUCAAGGAGAGAAGUCAAGCGAUAAGCCAAUCUGUGCAAAAUACAGAAAAGACUCCACCGAGGAGGCCAUUGAGCAAAGCUUAGCGAGCACAGGACACGUGACAACAAGAGCCACAAAAGAUAUAUUCACAAAGCUCAAAGACAAGUUGCUUCCAGUGGCUAUUGAUCUUCGCCAUGACAUGUGUGUUCAUAAUGGUUGUCCUGCUGAUCCGAGUUACAUAGAUAAUGGUUCGGAAUGUGAACCAGAUUAGUGAAACUCUAAAGAACAUUUCAGUUUGUCAAAGUUAUGUUGCCUUUGUAAAUUCUGAGUUUGGAAUAUGUGAGAGUGAAAUGAAACAACACAACUUGAUUCUA
Molecule: long non-coding RNA, 670 nt
Organism: Capsella rubella
Lineage: Eukaryota; Viridiplantae; Streptophyta; Magnoliopsida; Brassicales; Brassicaceae
Exons: 3
Source: RefSeq, a predicted model, not a curated record